GGGAGCCGGAUGAGCUGAGAGGUUCAAGUCCGGUUCUGAGAGAGCCUAAAGGUGAGAUUCCUUUUGGCUACUUACC
Molecule: non-coding RNA, 76 nt
Organism: Clostridium puniceum
Lineage: Bacteria; Bacillati; Bacillota; Clostridia; Eubacteriales; Clostridiaceae
Source: Rfam